AAUGAACGCUGGCGGCGUGCCUAACACAUGCAAGUCGAGCGAGAAAGUUCCUUCGGGAAUGAGUACAGCGGCGGACGGGUGAGUAACACGUAAGAAUCUGCCCUAUAGUGAAGAAUACCCUCGAGAAAUUGAGGUUAAUACUGCAUAAGUCCCUACGGGGAGAAAGACGUCUUUUAUGUCGUCGCUAUAGGAUGAGCUUGCGGACUAUCAGCUUGUUGGUGAGGUAAAGGCUCACCAAGGCUAUGACGGUUAACCGGCCUGAGAGGGUGUACGGUCACAUAGGCACUGAGAUACGGGCCUGACUCCUACGGGAGGCAGCAGUGGGGAAUAUUGCGCAAUGGGCGAAAGCCUGACGCAGCGACGCCGCGUGGAGGAUGAAGGUCUUAGGAUUGUAAACUCCUGUCAGAUGGAAAGAAAGGCUCAUGUCUAAUAAACGUGAGAUAUGACGGUACCAU
RNAcentral lists this ribosomal RNA (455 nucleotides) under uncultured bacterium. Its description in RNAcentral is "bacterial SSU rRNA". It matches the Rfam family "Bacterial small subunit ribosomal RNA", at positions 29 to 481 of the family's 1533-position model. The record is from RNAcentral.